UUCCAAAAUCCUUGCCAUGGUACAUCUUGUAUAAAUUUUGUCUGUGUGUCCUUUAUCCUAGCUAUGACUGGAUCUUAGCAUCUUUUCUUUUCCAUGCAUGCCAAUUAAUUUCAUCUCUGAAAUCUGUCUCCUCACCAUGCGAAAAUCCUGCAGUUGCUAAUCCACCACAGAAGUGACAUCGACACAGUAUGGCUGAGAGAAUACUUAUAAGGAGCCCAAAUGAAGAAAUAAUUAUGCCGUGGUUUUUGAAGAGGAAUGAGGCAUGAUAUGAACAUAACAAGAAGAAUGAUUUCCACUGCUACAUUUUAUGGCACCAGUGGGACUGCACAAAUUCUGAGAGCAUUUCCUUUCGUGGCCCUGCUUCUGUAAGGGUCAGAUACCACAUUUCAGAUCAGAAGUUGAGAAAGUUGUUAGCAGUGGUGUCUCAAAACAGCCCUUUUGAAGUUUCAUGGAAACCUCGACAAUGCACUGUUAUGUGGUUUGGAGCACCUGUCAGCCUCUGCCUAUGAUUCACAGGUAAGGCUUUUUUUCCCUAUCUGCUCAUCACUCAAAAGACAAGUCAGCCAAGGUAAAGGUUCAUCCACUAACAUGCUCCUUGGAAAU
This 603-nucleotide long non-coding RNA is filed under the name Gallus gallus (chicken). Its description in RNAcentral is "lncRNA (ENSGALG00010003404.1)". The record is from RNAcentral. Lineage: Eukaryota; Metazoa; Chordata; Aves; Galliformes; Phasianidae.